GCGAACUUGGCGGAAUGGUAGACGCAGGAGACUUAAAAUCUCCAGCCCGUAAAGGGCGUGCGGGUUCGAGUCCCGCAGUUCGCA
This 84-nucleotide transfer RNA is filed under the name Acetobacter senegalensis DSM 18889. RNAcentral's name for it is "tRNA-Leu". It matches the Rfam family "tRNA". From Rfam's summary of the family: Transfer RNA (tRNA) molecules are approximately 80 nucleotides in length. Their secondary structure includes four short double-helical elements and three loops (D, anti-codon, and T loops). The record is from RNAcentral. Lineage: Bacteria; Pseudomonadati; Pseudomonadota; Alphaproteobacteria; Acetobacterales; Acetobacteraceae.